RNAcentral lists this long non-coding RNA (502 nucleotides) under Struthio camelus australis. RNAcentral describes it as "lncRNA (ENSSCUG00000018589.1)". Lineage: Eukaryota; Metazoa; Chordata; Aves; Struthioniformes; Struthionidae. The record is from RNAcentral.
UCUGCCCCGCGGGUGCGGGCUGCUGCGGGCCCUCUGCCUCGGGGUUUUGUGUUGAUUUAAGUAGCUGCGGUGGAAAAUUCCCCAGUGUAACUGUUCUUCUGUGGGAGCGGCACUAAUGUACUCACGGCAUCUUUACGCCAGCGAGCCGAGCGCACGGAGGUGACAUUCACUCACACGUUUACACAAAUGGAAACUUGGCAUUCAUGAGUCACUGAUCUUAAUGUGGGAUUAAGAACAAAAACCUAUGCUUCUUGACACCUACCGUCAGGUCUUCAGUGAACUGAGGGCUCAGUCUUCGGUGCUGUUCAGGGAACAUCUUCAAUUUCUCAGGGAGCACUGAAAACAAAAUGCUCCCCCUCUAACAGGACUGACCCUAAAGAAACUGGAUUUGCCUGGAUACAGCUGGAACAAGAAUCUGACCCUAAGGACUGUGCUGUGGAAGAUUUGCAGCUCUUUACAUUAGAGCAGAAAUUAGGUAAUGUUUCUGUUACUUAUAAUUAAG